Molecule: small nuclear RNA, 21 nt
Filed under: Arabidopsis thaliana (thale cress)
Lineage: Eukaryota; Viridiplantae; Streptophyta; Magnoliopsida; Brassicales; Brassicaceae
Description: snRNA_12252
Source: RNAcentral
GAACCCGACGAGAUAAACGGG